UCCCUGGUGGCUCAGAUGGUAAAGAAUCUGCCUGCAAUGCAGGAGACCCUGGUUCAAUCCCUGGGUUGGGAA
This 72-nucleotide transfer RNA is filed under the name Bos taurus (domestic cattle). It matches the Rfam family "tRNA". From Rfam's summary of the family: Transfer RNA (tRNA) molecules are approximately 80 nucleotides in length. RNAcentral also lists the same sequence under 3 other names. Lineage: Eukaryota; Metazoa; Chordata; Mammalia; Artiodactyla; Bovidae. The record is from Rfam by way of RNAcentral.